RNAcentral lists this ribosomal RNA (429 nucleotides) under Verrucomicrobiota bacterium. RNAcentral's name for it is "Verrucomicrobia bacterium partial 16S ribosomal RNA". It matches the Rfam family "Bacterial small subunit ribosomal RNA", at positions 355 to 776 of the family's 1533-position model. Lineage: Bacteria; Pseudomonadati; Verrucomicrobiota. The record is from RNAcentral.
UAGGGAAUCUUCCGCAAUGGACGAAAGUCUGACGGAGCAACGCCGCGUGAGUGAAGAAGGAUUUCGGUUCGUAAAACUAUGUUGUUAGGGAAGAAAAAAUGUAUAGUAACUAUAUACAAAAGAGACGGUACCUAACCAGAAAGCCACGGCUAACUACGUGCCAGCAGCCGCGGUAAUACGUAGGUGGCAAGCGUUGUCCGGAAUUAUUGGGCGUAAAGCGCGCGCAGGUGGUUUAGAAAGUCUGAUGUGAAAGCCCACGGCUCAACCGUGGAGGGUCAUUGGAAACUAAUAAACUUGAGUGCAGGAGAGAAAAGUGGAAUUCCUAGUGUAGCGGUGAAAUGCGUAGAGAUUAGGAGGAACACCGGUGGCGAAAGCGGCUUUUUGGCCUGCAACUGACACUGAGGCGCGAAAGCGUGGGGAGCAAACAGG